Molecule: unclassified non-coding RNA, 1676 nt
Filed under: uncultured fungus
Lineage: Eukaryota; Fungi
Also listed under: 1 other name
Description: sequence contains 18S rRNA gene, ITS1, 5.8S rRNA gene, ITS2, 28S rRNA gene
Rfam family: Eukaryotic large subunit ribosomal RNA (bases 627-1676)
Source: RNAcentral
GGAAGGAUCAUUAACAAAGCUUGAAGUUCGCUCAACCGCGUCUUCAACAAAUCCAUCCACACCUUGUGCAAUAUUGACCUCGAGGCAAGUUCUUUCGGGAAUUUGCUGGUCUUGUGGGGGGAAAAACCUAAAGGAUAGGCAGCAAUGCUUAACCUUUAAGCCCCCCAAAAGUAUUUAACCUAUUCGUUUUUUGUUUGUCUGAAACUUUUUAUUGAUACAAUAAAAACAACUUUCAACAACGGAUCUCUUGGUUCUCGCAUCGAUGAAGAACGCAGCGAAAUGCGAUACGUAAUGUGAAUUGCAGAAUUCAGUGAAUCAUCGAAUCUUUGAACGCACAUUGCACUCUUUGGUAACCCGAAGAGUAUGCCUGUUUCAGAUAUAAGUCACUAUGAACUCUGAGGGGGUGUUUGCCAACUCAGUUUUCAUGACUUGAACUUUCCAGACUCAUUACGCGUCUGGUGGUUUAAAAUAAAAGCAUGGACGGUCUUCUUGACUCAUCCGCACGCAAAAGUGUAAUACGAGCUGUCAAAGGCUUCAUUCACUUCUUGCUAGGACGUCAGAUGUAUCGAUUUAAUCCAUGGUCGCAGGAAAUCGGGGGACUACGUAAGUAGAACCUAUCCAUAGCGGCAUCUGAAAUCAGGUAGGACUACCCGCUGAACUUAAGCAUAUCAAUAAGCGGAGGAAAAGAAACUAACAAGGAUUCCCCUAGUAACGGCGAGUGAAGCGGGAAAAGCUCAAAUUUGAAACCUGGCCUCUUCGAGGAAAAUGUCGCAGGGUUGUAGUUUAUAGAGGCGUUUUCGAUGGAAUCCUGGGUAUAAGUCUUUUGGAACAAGGCAUCAUAGAGGGUGAGAAUCCCGUCUUUGACUCAGAGUUUUCCAUUAUGUGAUACGUCUUCAUAGAGUCGAGUUGUUUGGGAAUGCAGCUCAAAAUGGGUGGUAAAUCUCAUCUAAAGCUAAAUAUUGGCGAGAGACCGAUAGCGAACAAGUACCGUGAGGGAAAGAUGAAAAGAACUUUGAAAAGAGAGUUAAACAGUACGUGAAAUUGUUGAAAGGGAAACGUUUGAAAUCAGUCAUUUCUUCUGGAAAUCAGCCUUGCUUUUGCAUGGUGUAUUUUCCAGUUGAAAGGUUAACGUCAAUUUUGGUUGUCGGAUAAAAGCCUUUGGAAUGUGGCUCUCUUCGGGGAGUGUUAUAGCCAAGGUCAAUACGAUGACUGGGAUUGAGGAUUCGCCGCCAAUGCUCUCUGGGCAGUGGCAUCAUGCGCUCAGGUUAACACUCUGCUAGACAGCUUGCUGACUAGUAGUUUGAAGAUUUGACUCGUGUGGUUCCCACUAAUUGGCGUAGGACGUUAACUUAAUGGUUUUAAACGACCCGUCUUGAAACACGGACCAAGGAGUCUAACAUAUAUGCGAGUAUUUGGGUGGCAAACCCAUAUGCGUAAUGAAAGUGAACAUAGGUGGGAUCCUCACGGAGCACCAUCGACCGGUCUGGAUUUUUUAAUGAAAGAUCUGAGUAAGAGCAUAUAUGCUGGGACCCGAAAGAUGGUGAACUAUGCCUGAAUAGGGUGAAGCCAGGGGAAACCCUGGUGGAGGCUCGUAGCGAUUCUGACGUGCAAAUCGAUCGUCAAAUUUGGGUAUAGGGGCGAAAGACUAAUCGAACCAUCUAGUAGCUGGUUCCUGC